Molecule: ribosomal RNA, 449 nt
Filed under: uncultured bacterium
Lineage: Bacteria
Description: partial 16S ribosomal RNA
Rfam family: Bacterial small subunit ribosomal RNA
Source: RNAcentral
AGCGAACGCUGGCGGCAGGCCUAACACAUGCAAGUCGAACGAACUCUUCGGAGUUAGUGGCGGACGGGUGAGUAACACGUGGGAACGUGCCUUUAGGUUCGGAAUAACUCAGGGAAACUUGUGCUAAUACCGAAUGGGCCCUUCGGGGGCAAGGUUUAUCGCCUUCAGAGCGGCCCGCGUCUGAUUAGCUAGUUGGUGAGGUAACGGCCCACCCAGGCGACGAGCAGGAGCUGGUCUGAGGGGAUGGCCAGCCACACUGGGGCGGAGACCUGGGCCAGACUCCUACGGGAGGCAGCAGUGGGGAGUCGUGCGGAAUGGGCGAAAGCCUGACGCAGGCAUGCCGCGUGAAUGAUGAAGGUCUUAGGACUGUAAAAUUCUUUCGCCGGGGACGAUAAUGACGGUAGCCGGAGAAGAAGCCCCGGCUAACUUCGUGCCAGCAGCCGCAGUAA